This 525-nucleotide long non-coding RNA is filed under the name Brassica napus (rape). RNAcentral's name for it is "long non-coding RNA (BNAP_LNC011879)". Lineage: Eukaryota; Viridiplantae; Streptophyta; Magnoliopsida; Brassicales; Brassicaceae. The record is from RNAcentral.
AAAAAGUUUAGGAAUAUUAAGAAACAUAGUGUUCUUCCUCGUUCCCAGAGUCACCAGUAACAUCCUAAAAUACAAUAGUCAGUCACACCCUAAAAUACAAUAGUGUACAAACGAACAACAUUUGAGUUUUACUUCGUGAUGAACAUCUAACAUAAAAAACGAACAUGGCCUAAGAAAGGAAAUAAUGGCCAACCGAAUUGAUUAUUAAUUCACUUUAUUCCAUGAACGAGUGCUUCGGUUUUUUUAUUGCACGCCUAAUCCAUUUUUAUUCCUCUCCUACGCGAUUUUCGUCAACUUCAUCCUCUUCGUUAUCACCACCAUCAUCUGCAAGCCCUUUGAUGUGUUCUGUUUUCAUUUUAGGUUUUUAACCCGGUUGUUUGUUGAGAUUGAUUGAUUUUUCAAGGUAUUUUGGUUUUCUCGGAGUCUUUCGGUGUUCUGCAUUUUUAUUUCAUUUUUUCAAGGUAUGUUGGGAAAACACGCUAUUGGACAGAAAUUUAGAGCAAAAUAGUAUUGGAUUGACUUGUG